GGUUUAGUGGUCUAGUGGUAUGAUUGUCGCUUCGGGUCCUCUUUGCCCAAGAGCAAAGCUCUAAAAUGUGACAGGUCCCGUGUUCAAUCCACGGCUAAACCC
Molecule: non-coding RNA, 102 nt
Organism: Aulographum hederae CBS 113979
Lineage: Eukaryota; Fungi; Ascomycota; Dothideomycetes; Aulographales; Aulographaceae
Source: the annotation of a GenBank genome assembly